UGGUCUCACCACGCGUUACUCAUU
RNAcentral lists this microRNA (24 nucleotides) under Caenorhabditis elegans. RNAcentral's name for it is "cel-miR-8204-5p". Lineage: Eukaryota; Metazoa; Nematoda; Chromadorea; Rhabditida; Rhabditidae. The record is from miRBase by way of RNAcentral.